UACCCUUAGGACGUUGACAACCCCGAGAAAUUGGGGCUAAUAAACGAUAGAUAUGAUGUCCUGGAAUGGUAUCAUGUCUAAAGGUAUCCCAUACAUGUUUGGUAUACGCCUAAGGAUGGGGCUGCGGCCGAUCAGGCAGUUGGUGAGGUAAUGGCUCACCAAACCUUUGACCGGUACGGGCCAUGAGAGUGGUAGCCCGGAGAUGGACACUGAGACAAGGGUCCAGGCCCUACGGGGCGCAGCAGGCGCGAAACCUCCUCAAUGCACUAACGUGCGAAGGGGUUACCUCGAGUGCUACCUGAAGAAGGUGGCUUUUCCUUGGUCUAAAAAGCCUCGGGAAUAAGAGGGGGGCAAGACUGGUGUCAGCCGCCGCGGUAACACCAGCCCCUCUAGUGGUGGGGAUGAUUAUUUGGCCUAAAG
Molecule: ribosomal RNA, 420 nt
Filed under: uncultured archaeon
Lineage: Archaea
Description: bacterial SSU rRNA
Rfam family: Archaeal small subunit ribosomal RNA
Source: RNAcentral